UUCGGGGACAUUGGUGACAGGUGGUGCAUGGUUGUCGUCAGCUCGUGUCGUGAGAUGUUGGGUUAAGUCCCGCAACGAGCGCAACCCUUGUCUUUAGUUGCCAUCAUUAAGUUGGGCACUCUAGAGAGACUGCCAGGGAUAACCUGGAGGAAGGUGGGGAUGACGUCAAAUCAUCAUGCCCCUUAUGCUUAGGGCUACACACG
Molecule: ribosomal RNA, 203 nt
Filed under: Clostridioides difficile
Lineage: Bacteria; Bacillati; Bacillota; Clostridia; Peptostreptococcales; Peptostreptococcaceae
Description: partial 16S ribosomal RNA
Rfam family: Bacterial small subunit ribosomal RNA
Source: RNAcentral